AGAGAUAGAGGGUGCUCGAAAGAGAGCCGUAACACAGGUGCUGCAUGGCUGUCGUCAGCUCGUGUCGUGAGAUGUUGGGUUAAGUCCCGCAACGAGCGCAACCCUUGUCAUUAGUUGCUACAUUCAGUUGGGCACUCUAAUGAGACUGCCGGUGACAAGCCGGAGGAAGUGGGGAUGACGUCAAGUCCUCAUGGCCCUUAUAGGUGGGGCUACACACGUCAUACAAUGGCUGGUACAAAGGGUUGCCAACCCGCGAGGGGGAGCCAAUCCCAUAAAGCCAGUCGUAGUCCGGAUCGUAGUCUGCAACUCGACUACGUGAAGUCGGAAUCGCUAGUAAUCGUGGAUCAGAAUGUCACGGUGAAUACGUUCCCGGGUCUU
This 378-nucleotide ribosomal RNA is filed under the name uncultured Rhodoferax sp. Its description in RNAcentral is "bacterial SSU rRNA". It matches the Rfam family "Bacterial small subunit ribosomal RNA", at positions 1002 to 1382 of the family's 1533-position model. The record is from RNAcentral. Lineage: Bacteria; Pseudomonadati; Pseudomonadota; Betaproteobacteria; Burkholderiales; Comamonadaceae.